This 68-nucleotide transfer RNA is filed under the name Enoplochiton echinatus. Its description in RNAcentral is "tRNA-Ser". The record is from RNAcentral. Lineage: Eukaryota; Metazoa; Mollusca; Polyplacophora; Chitonida; Chitonidae.
AAAGAUAGCCCGGGGCAAGCUAUUGCUGCUAACUAUAACUUAAGUGGUUCAAUUCCAUUUUGUCUUUU